AAUGAACGCUGGCGGCGCGCCUAAUACAUGCAAGUCGAGCGAGAAGACGUAGCAAUACGUUUGUAAAGCGGCGAACGGGUGAGGAAUACAUGGGUAACCUACCCUAGAGUGGGGAAUAACUAGCCGAAAGGUUAGCUAAUACCGCGUACGCUCCUUGGACUUCGGUUCAGGGAGGAAAGCGAUACCGAGGGUAUCGCGCUCUUGGAUGGGCUCAUGUCCUAUCAGCUUGNGGUGAGGUAACGGCUCACCAAGGCUUCGACGGGUAGCUGGUCUGAGAGGACGAUCAGCCACACUGGCACUGCGACACGGGCCAGACUCCUACGGGAGGCAGCAGUAAGGAAUAUUGCGCAAUGGGCGAAAGCCUGACGCAGCGACGCCGCGUGGGGGA
Molecule: ribosomal RNA, 388 nt
Filed under: uncultured bacterium
Lineage: Bacteria
Description: bacterial SSU rRNA
Rfam family: Bacterial small subunit ribosomal RNA
Source: RNAcentral